UUAAGCGACUAAGCGUACACGGUGGAUGCCCUGGCAGUCAGAGGCGAUGAAGGACGUGCUAAUCUGCGAAAAGCGUCGGUAAGGUGAUAUGAACCGUUAUAACCGGCGAUGUCCGAAUGGGGAAACCCAGUGUGAUUCGUCACACUAUCGUUAACUGAAUACAUAGGUUAACGAGGCGAACCGGGGGAACUGAAACAUCUAAGUACCCCGAGGAAAAGAAAUCAACCGAGAUUCCCCCAGUAGCGGCGAGCGAACGGGGAGCAGCCCAGAGUCUGAAUCAGCUUGUGUGUUAGUGGAACGGUCUGGAAAGUCCGACGGUACAGGGUGAUAGUCCCGUACACCAAAAUGCACAGGCUGUGAACUCGAAGAGUAGGGCGGGACACGUGGUAUCCUGUCUGAAUAUGGGGGGACCAUCCUCCAAGGCUAAAUACUCCUGACUGACCGAUAGUGAACCAGUACCGUGAGGGAAAGGCGAAAAGAACCCCGGCGAGGGGAGUGAAAAAGAACCUGAAACCGUGUACGUACAAGCAGUGGGAGCACCUUCGGGUGUGACUGCGUACCUUUUGUAUAAUGGGUCAGCGACUUAUAUUCUGUAGCAAGGUUAACCGUAUAGGGGAGCCGCAGGGAAACCGAGUCUUAACUGGGCGUUAAGUUGCAGGGUAUAGACCCGAAACCCGGUGAUCUAGCCAUGGGCAGGUUGAAGGUUGGGUAACACUAACUGGAGGACCGAACCGACUAAUGUUGAAAAAUUAGCGGAUGACUUGUGGCUGGGGGUGAAAGGCCAAUCAAACCGGGAGAUAGCUGGUUCUCCCCGAAAGCUAUUUAGGUAGCGCCUCGUGAACUCAUCUUCGGGGGUAGAGCACUGUUUCGGCUAGGGGGUCAUCCCGACUUACCAACCCGAUGCAAACUACGAAUACCGAAGAAUGUUAUCACGGGAGACACACGGCGGGUGCUAACGUCCGUCGUGAAGAGGGAAACAACCCAGACCGCCAGCUAAGGUCCCAAAGUCAUGGUUAAGUGGGAAACGAUGUGGGAAGGCACAGACAGCCAGGAUGUUGGCUUAGAAGCAGCCAUCAUUUAAAGAAAGCGUAAUAGCUCACUGGUCGAGUCGGCCUGCGCGGAAGAUGUAACGGGGCUAAACCAUGCACCGAAGCUGCGGCAGCGACACUAUGUGUUGUUGGGUAGGGGAGCGUUCUGUAAGCCUGCGAAGGUGUGCUGUGAGGCAUGCUGGAGGUAUCAGAAGUGCGAAUGCUGACAUAAGUAACGAUAAAGCGGGUGAAAAGCCCGCUCGCCGGAAGACCAAGGGUUCCUGUCCAACGUUAAUCGGGGCAGGGUGAGUCGACCCCUAAGGCGAGGCCGAAAGGCGUAGUCGAUGGGAAACAGGUUAAUAUUCCUGUACUUGGUGUUACUGCGAAGGGGGGACGGAGAAGGCUAUGUUAGCCGGGCGACGGUUGUCCCGGUUUAAGCAUGUAGGCUGGUUAUCCAGGCAAAUCCGGAUAAUCAAGGCUGAGGUGUGAUGACGAGGCACUACGGUGCUGAAGUAACAAAUGCCCUGCUUCCAGGAAAAGCCUCUAAGCAUCAGGUAACAUCAAAUCGUACCCCAAACCGACACAGGUGGUCAGGUAGAGAAUACCAAGGCGCUUGAGAGAACUCGGGUGAAGGAACUAGGCAAAAUGGUGCCGUAACUUCGGGAGAAGGCACGCUGGUGUGUAGGUGAAGCCCCUGCGGGUGGAGCUGAGACCAGUCGAAGAUACCAGCUGGCUGCAACUGUUUAUUAAAAACACAGCACUGUGCAAACACGAAAGUGGACGUAUACGGUGUGACGCCUGCCCGGUGCCGGAAGGUUAAUUGAUGGGGUUAUCCGUAAGGAGAAGCUCUUGAUCGAAGCCCCGGUAAACGGCGGCCGUAACUAUAACGGUCCUAAGGUAGCGAAAUUCCUUGUCGGGUAAGUUCCGACCUGCACGAAUGGCGUAAUGAUGGCCAGGCUGUCUCCACCCGAGACUCAGUGAAAUUGAACUCGCUGUGAAGAUGCAGUGUACCCGCGGCAAGACGGAAAGACCCCGUGAACCUUUACUAUAGCUUGACACUGAACAUUGAGCCUUGAUGUGUAGGAUAGGUGGGAGGCUUUGAAGCGUGGACGCCAGUCUGCGUGGAGCCAACCUUGAAAUACCACCCUUUAAUGUUUGAUGUUCUAACGUUGGCCCCUGACCGGGGUUGCGGACAGUGUCUGGUGGGUAGUUUGACUGGGGCGGUCUCCUCCCAAAGCGUAACGGAGGAGCACGAAGGUUAGCUAAUCCUGGUCGGACAUCAGGAGGUUAGUGCAAUGGCAUAAGCUAGCUUGACUGCGAGCGUGACGGCGCGAGCAGGUGCGAAAGCAGGUCAUAGUGAUCCGGUGGUUCUGAAUGGAAGGGCCAUCGCUCAACGGAUAAAAGGUACUCCGGGGAUAACAGGCUGAUACCGCCCAAGAGUUCAUAUCGACGGCGGUGUUUGGCACCUCGAUGUCGGCUCAUCACAUCCUGGGGCUGAAGUAGGUCCCAAGGGUAUGGCUGUUCGCCAUUUAAAGUGGUACGCGAGCUGGGUUUAGAACGUCGUGAGACAGUUCGGUCCCUAUCUGCCGUGGGCGCUGGAGAAUUGAGGGGGGCUGCUCCUAGUACGAGAGGACCGGAGUGGACGCAUCACUGGUGUUCGGGUUGUCAUGCCAAUGGCACUGCCCGGUAGCUAAAUGCGGAAGAGAUAAGUGCUGAAAGCAUCUAAGCACGAAACUUGCCCCGAGAUGAGUUCUCCCUGAGACUUUAAGUCUCCUGAAGGAACGUUGAAGACGACGACGUUGAUAGGCCGGGUGUGUAAGCGCAGCGAUGCGUUGAGCUAACCGGUACUAAUGAACCGUGAGGCUUAACCUU
RNAcentral lists this ribosomal RNA (2900 nucleotides) under Klebsiella pneumoniae. RNAcentral describes it as "bacterial LSU rRNA". It matches the Rfam family "Bacterial large subunit ribosomal RNA". The record is from RNAcentral. Lineage: Bacteria; Pseudomonadati; Pseudomonadota; Gammaproteobacteria; Enterobacterales; Enterobacteriaceae.